GACGAACGCUGGCGGCAUGCCUAAGACAUGCAAGUCGAACGAACAAAUCGGUGCUUGCACCGAUGCGUUAGUGGCGAACGGGUGAGUAACACGUAGGUAACCUACCUUGAAGACGGGGACAACAGUUGGAAACGACUGCUAAUACCGGAUAGGUAAUUGAUUCGCAUGAAUCGAUUAUUAAAGGAGCUUUCAAGCUUCACUUCGAGAUGGACCUGCGCCGUAUUAGCUAGUUGGUGAGGUAACGGCUCACCAAGGCGACGAUGCGUAGCCGAGCUGAGAGGCUGAUCGGCCACACUGGAACUGAGACACGGUCCAGACUCCUACGGGAGCAAGCAGUUAGGAAUAUUGGGCAAUGGAGGAAACUCUGACCCAGCAAACUGACCCG
Molecule: ribosomal RNA, 385 nt
Filed under: uncultured bacterium
Lineage: Bacteria
Description: bacterial SSU rRNA
Rfam family: Bacterial small subunit ribosomal RNA
Source: RNAcentral